Podarcis lilfordi (Lilford's wall lizard) is the source of this 133-nucleotide non-coding RNA. Lineage: Eukaryota; Metazoa; Chordata; Lepidosauria; Squamata; Lacertidae. The record is from the annotation of a GenBank genome assembly.
AUGCAAGCUUCCCAGCAGAGCUGGAUCUUGACCUAUGGAACUGAUCGUUCUUGCAGCAUUUGCAAAUUGUGAGAUAGUUUGAGGCCCUCCUUGACUCAACUUCAGAGGGAGGCUAUAGAAAUCUCAGCCAAGC